GUAGUCCACGCCGUAAACGAUGAACACUUGUUGUUGGAGGUAUUGACCCCUUCAGUGACGAAGCUAACGCGUUAAGUGUUCCGCCUGGGGAGUACGGUCGCAAGAUUAAAACUCAAAGAAAUUGACGGGGGCCCGCACAAGCGGUGGAGCAUGUGGUUUAAUUCGAUGCAACGCGAAAAACCUUACCUGGGCUCGAAAUGUACGGGAAGUAAGCAGAGAUGUUUACGUCUUCGGACCCGUAUAUAGGUGCUGCAUGGCUGUCGUCAGCUCGUGUCGUGAGAUGUUGGGUUAAGUCCCGCAACGAGCGCAACCCUUGCCUUUAGUUGCCAGCAUUCAGUUGGGCACUCUAAAGGGACUGCCGGUGUUAAACCGGA
Molecule: ribosomal RNA, 374 nt
Filed under: uncultured bacterium
Lineage: Bacteria
Description: bacterial SSU rRNA
Rfam family: Bacterial small subunit ribosomal RNA
Source: RNAcentral